RNAcentral lists this ribosomal RNA (489 nucleotides) under uncultured bacterium. Its description in RNAcentral is "partial 16S ribosomal RNA". It matches the Rfam family "Bacterial small subunit ribosomal RNA", at positions 30 to 507 of the family's 1533-position model. The record is from RNAcentral.
UGAACGCUGGCGGUAGGCCUAACACAUGCAAGUCGAACGGCAGCACAGUAGAGCUUGCUCUUACGGGUGGCGAGUGGCGGACGGGUGAGGAAUACAUCGGAAUCUACUUUUUCGUGGGGGAUAACGUAGGGAAACUUACGCUAAUACCGCAUACGACCUACGGGUGAAAGCAGGGGAUCUUCGGACCUUGCGCGAUUGAAUGAGCCGAUGUCGGAUUAGCUAGUUGGCGGGGUAAAGGCCCACCAAGGCGACGAUCCGUAGCUGGUCUGAGAGGAUGAUCAGCCACACUGGAACUGAGACACGGUCCAGACUCCUACGGGAGGCAGCAGUGGGGAAUAUUGGACAAAGGGCGCAAGCCUGAUCCAGCCAUACCGCGUGGGUGAAGAAGGCCUUCGGGUUGUAAAGCCCUUUUGUUGGGAAAGAAAAGCAGCAGGUUAAUACCCCGCUGUUCUGACGGUACCCAAAGAAUAAGCACCGGCUAACUUCGUG